Molecule: long non-coding RNA, 2710 nt
Organism: Magnolia sinica
Lineage: Eukaryota; Viridiplantae; Streptophyta; Magnoliopsida; Magnoliales; Magnoliaceae
Exons: 3
Source: RefSeq, a predicted model, not a curated record
UUUUAUUUUUUUGCUGACAGGUAUGAUUGCCGAAAUCGCGCCCAUGACAUUCCGUAGUUUUUGUAGUUCUGUUUGGAGUUGUUAGUGAUCUGUAGUGUUUUUUUUUUUUUUGAAUUACGUUGCAAAUUCAUCCUGCCUACUUGGAGAGAUCAAUCGUGUAAGUCAAGCUUGCAGUCUUAGAUCUUGGGCGUGAAAAAGACUAAGAUGGGUUUUCGAUUGCCUUUUUCUGAAUCUUCUAGUUGUGAAAGAGAACUUGCUGAAAAUCGUUGUGAAAGGGGACUUGCUUACUUCUGUUUUUGAAUUUUUUGAAAGAGGUAGAUUUUCAAAGGAUUUGUGGGGCUUCCAUCAUCAGUCCUAGAAAUGGUGCAGAAGAAGAGAUUUCAGGCCUGUAAAAUUUGAUCGGUGGGCCAGUGGCCUGUUUAUUGGCUAGGGUGCUAUCUUGAAGGCUAAGAAGUGUGCUUGAGGCAUCAUUUCUAAUGUUCAAGGGGCAUUUCUCCAUGCCAGACAGAUUGUCCGCGAUUCUCUUAUUGCUCGUGAGUGCUUUGAUUCGAGACAUAGGGAGGGUAAAACAGGUCUUAUUUGUAAACUAAAUAUCGAAAAGGCUUAUGACCAUGUACCUUAAAAAAAGGCUUAUGACCAUGUGAGCUGGAAGUUUCUGCGGUACAUGUUACACAGAAUGCGUUUGAGGUGAGAUGGAGACAGUAGAUGGCUGAAUGCGUCUCCUUGACACACUAUUUGAUUCUCAUUAAUGGGUCCCUUUAGCCAAGGGGACUUGUUGAAGCCUUUAGCAGGAUGGCGGACAAGGCAGUCAAGGAAGAGUGAGCUGGCAGGCCAGUAAUUUGAGAAGGUUUUUUAGAUUCUCUGAGGCAGCUUCAGGUCAGAAGAUCAACAUGUAAAUUUGAGCUUCUGGGAAUUCAGUUAGAAGAAGAUGGGCUGCAGGACUAGGCAUCCAUUCUGGUUUGUACGGUGGGUGGUUUUCUGUCUUCAUCCCUUGGUCCCUUCAUGUAUUGGUGAACCUGCAAGAGCCUCUGAAAUAAUGUAAUUUAAAGAAUUGAAAGGACUUUAUUGGCAUGGAAAAGCAAGUAACUCUCUGUUGGAGGGAGUAUUAUGUUUAUUAAAGUCGCUUUAUCUAAUGCGCCGGUCUACUUGGUCUCUUUUCAAAUGCCCAGCUAAUGUCAUUGAGUUUAUCAAGAAGUUGCAAAAGGACUUACUUUGGAAAGGUAUGGAGGAAAAGAAAGAGUUCCACCUGGUUGGUUCAGAAACAGUUUGUUGUCCAGAGGAAUAGGGCCAUAUCCACAUCAUGGCUCAAAAGCAUUAUGGAUCUUUGAACCAUGAAACCAGCUUUAUUGGGAAAUUUUUGUGGAGAUUUGUACCAUGGAGAAUAACUUUGGAAGAAAGUCAUUUUCUACAAGCAUGGUACUCAAGAGAGAGGUUGGAUUGCUUGUGAGUCAUCUUUGUAAAGAACAUCAAGUGUCUGAAAGGCUAUAGCUAGUGGUAUAUCUGAUUCUUUCCGCAGGUCUGCAGUAUGAGGUAGGUGAUGGUUGUAGUAUCAAAGUUUGGGCUGAUCCAUGGUGCAGCAAGUGGACUUUUCUUUGUGAUUUCCCUGGGUUGUACACCAUCUCGGUGAACAAGGAAGAAACCAGUUCAAAAGUAUUUCAUUAGAAGAAGUAUCUUGGUUGUUUGUUCCCCUAUUUGUAGAAGAAAUCUCACAGAUGAAGAGGCAGGGGAAUUUGCUCAUUUGCAAGUCUGCAUUGGUUUGACGGCCCUCUCCUCUGAGCUUCAUGACAACUGGGGUUGGGGCUUGGAUCCUCACCUGUAUUUACACAUCAGAUCUUCUAUCGUUCCCUUGGUUGUGGCUCAAUGAGCAGGUUGAAUCAGAGUUCAGUGUUCGUCGGGUGGUUGCAUUUUCUUGGCUAGUGGCAAAUGACAAAUUUCUCACCAUUGGCCGCCUCAAAAAUAGGAACAUGAUAAUGAAUGGAUGCCCUAUGUGCCUUAAGGAUACAGAGUCGGCUUCUCAUCUUUUCAUCCAUUAUGAGUUUGCCUUGGUUAUUUGGAGGGAAUAGUCUUCCUAUGUUUUAUAUGCUUUGGACCAAGCCAACCUCUAUUGCUCAGUUUGUACAUGCCUGUGUCAGGAUCUGCGAGGGAGAGAAAAGGAACAAUUUGGCUCCUUUCCAUGCUUGUGGCCUUAUGGUCUAUUUGGGAGGAUGGAAAAAUGGGACUUCCAAUGAUAAGUCUUGCCCUCUAGAGGCGGUUUUCAGAAAGAUCAAAGGGCAGAAUUCUGUUUUGGGCUUUGGAAACUCCUCUCUUUAAGGGGUAUAAACAAAGGAGCUGUUGGAUGCUGAGGGUGUUUUCUUGUAGUUGUCUCUCUUUGAGCAGUGGGAUCUCAUCUCUUUUCUGCUUUUGCUCUUAAUAGUAUUAUUUUGUGUUACCUCUCAAUAAAUAAAUAAGGAAAGAAAGAAAAAAGAAAAGAAAAGAGUUCAGUAAGAAGCUUUGUGAUUUGGUUUUUAUGAAGGGUAAGUCUAUUCAUAGAGGACCCUAUGUAUAUUUCUCACUGGUAUAGUGAAUCACAGCAGGCAAUUAUUUUACUAUUGACUCUUUACUAGAGGAAAUAGUGUUUGCACAUUUCUUUUUGUAACCAGCUUGAUACUGUAGAUUAUUCUUGCGUGAAAUAUUGCACGAAACAAUAUGUGAUGAUUGUUUGCGUAAAAUA